This 497-nucleotide ribosomal RNA is filed under the name uncultured bacterium. Its description in RNAcentral is "partial 16S ribosomal RNA". It matches the Rfam family "Bacterial small subunit ribosomal RNA", at positions 28 to 507 of the family's 1533-position model. The record is from RNAcentral.
GAUGAACGCUGGCGGCGUGCCUAAUACAUGCAAGUCGAGCGAACAGACGAGGAGCUUGCUCCUCUGACGUUAGCGGCGGACGGGUGAGUAACACGUGGAUAACCUACCUAUAAGACUUGGAUAACUUCGGGAAACCGGAGCUAAUACCGGAUAAUAUAUUGAACCGCAUGGUUCAAUAGUGAAAGACGGUUUUGCUGUCACUUAUAGAUGUAUCCGCGCCGCAUUAGCUAGUUGGUAAGGUAACGGCUUACCAAGGCGACGAUGCGUAGCCGACCUGAGAGGGUGAACGGCCACACUGGAACUGAGACACGGUCCAGACUCCUACGGGAGGCAGCAGUAGGGAAUCUUCCGCAAUGGGCGAAAGCCUGACGGAGCAACGCCGCGUGAGUGAUGAAGGUCUUCGGAUCGUAAAACUCUGUUAUUAGGGAAGAACAAAUGUGUAAGUAACUAUGCACGUCUUGACGGUACCUAAUCAGAAAGCCACGGCUAACUACGUG